This 255-nucleotide long non-coding RNA is filed under the name Manihot esculenta (cassava). Its description in RNAcentral is "long non-coding RNA (MESC_LNC011573)". The record is from RNAcentral. Lineage: Eukaryota; Viridiplantae; Streptophyta; Magnoliopsida; Malpighiales; Euphorbiaceae.
UUUCAGUCCAGUGUUUAUAGAGGGUAGAUACCUUCCAGCUGACCUUGUGGUUCUAGAUUUGACGGAUUUUGAUGUCAUUCUAGGGAUGGAUUGGUUAUCUACAUAUAGUGCUACGUUGGACUGUAGAGAGAAGAUAGUGAGUCUCAGAGACCAGGAUGGGUCAGAGUGUGUCUUUAGAGGAGACAGGAGAGGUACACCCAGAGGCAUGAUUUCAGCCCUUCAGGCUCGUCGUUUGCUUAGGAGGGGUUGUCAGGG